RNAcentral lists this ribosomal RNA (253 nucleotides) under uncultured bacterium. RNAcentral describes it as "partial 16S ribosomal RNA". It matches the Rfam family "Bacterial small subunit ribosomal RNA", at positions 524 to 776 of the family's 1533-position model. The record is from RNAcentral.
UACGAAGGGGGCUAGCGUUGCUCGGAAUUACUGGGCGUAAAGCGCACGUAGGCGGCUUUCUAAGUCGGGGGUGAAAUCCUGGAGCUCAACUCCAGAACUGCCUUCGAUACUGGAGAGCUCGAGUCCGGGAGAGGUGAGUGGAACUGCGAGUGUAGAGGUGAAAUUCGUAGAUAUUCGGAAGAACACCAGUGGCGAAGGCGGCUCACUGGCCCGUUACCGACGCUCAGGCGCGACAGCGUGGGGAGCAAACAGG